Molecule: ribosomal RNA, 443 nt
Filed under: uncultured Treponema clone CFS167p
Lineage: Bacteria; Pseudomonadati; Spirochaetota; Spirochaetia; Treponematales; Treponemataceae
Description: bacterial SSU rRNA
Rfam family: Bacterial small subunit ribosomal RNA
Source: RNAcentral
GGACGGUAGACAGGGGUUGCCCCUGUUGAGAGUGGCGGACUGGUGAGUAACGCGUGGGUGACNUGCCCUGUGGCCGGGGAUAGCCGUUAGAAAUAGCGGGUAAUACCGGAUGUGGUUAUUGGACUGUGGUCUGGUAACGAAAGGAGNUAAGGUUCCGCCAUAGGAUGGGCCCGCGUCCCAUUAGCUGGUUGGGGGGGUAACGGCCCACCAAGGCGAUGAUGGGUAGCCGGCCUGAGAGGGUGAACGGCCACAUUGGGACUGAGAUACGGCCCAAAUUUCCUACGGGAGGCAGCAGCUAAGAAUAUUCCGCAAUGGACGAAAGNCUGACGGAGCGACGCCGCGCGGAUGACGAAGGCCGGAAGGUUGUAAAANCCUUUUGCCGCUGAAGAAUAAGCGGGGUAGGGAAUGACCCCGUGAUGACGUUAGNGCGGUGAAUGGGCCCC